This 444-nucleotide ribosomal RNA is filed under the name uncultured soil bacterium. RNAcentral's name for it is "bacterial SSU rRNA". It matches the Rfam family "Bacterial small subunit ribosomal RNA", at positions 26 to 518 of the family's 1533-position model. The record is from RNAcentral.
AGAACGAACGCUGGCGGCAUGCCUAAUACAUGCAAGUCGAACGAACUCUUCGGAGUUAGUGGCGCACGGGUGCGUAACGCGUGGGAAUCUGCCCCUUGGUUCGGAAUAACAGUUGGAAACGACUGCUAAUACCGGAUGAUGACGAAAGUCCAAAGAUUUAUCGCCAAGGGAUGAGCCCGCGUAGGAUUAGCUAGUUGGUGAGGUAAAGGCUCACCAAGGCAACGAUCCUUAGCUGGUCUGAGAGGAUGAUCAGCCACACUGGGACUGAGACACGGCCCAGACUCCUACGGGAGCAGCAGUAGGGAAUAUGGACAAUGGGCGAAGGCCUGACCCAGCAAAUGCCGCGUGAGUGAUGAGGGCCUUAGGGUUGUAAAGCUCUUUUACCCGAGAUGAUAAUGACAGUAUCGGAGAAUAAGCCCCGGCUAACUCCGCGCCAGCAGCCGC